RNAcentral lists this ribosomal RNA (508 nucleotides) under Lodderomyces parapsilosis. RNAcentral's name for it is "LSU rRNA". It matches the Rfam family "Eukaryotic large subunit ribosomal RNA", at positions 125 to 649 of the family's 3401-position model. The record is from RNAcentral. Lineage: Eukaryota; Fungi; Ascomycota; Pichiomycetes; Serinales; Debaryomycetaceae.
GCACUUUCAGUGUCCGAGUUGUAAUUUGAAGAAGGUAUCUUUGGGUCUGGCUCUUGUCUAUGUUUCUUGGAACAGAACGUCACAGAGGGUGAGAAUCCCGUGCGAUGAGAUGUCCCAGACCUAUGUAAAGUUCCUUCGAAGAGUCGAGUUGUUUGGGAAUGCAGCUCUAAGUGGGUGGUAAAUUCCAUCUAAAGCUAAAUAUUGGCGAGAGACCGAUAGCGAACAAGUACAGUGAUGGAAAGAUGAAAAGAACUUUGAAAAGAGAGUGAAAAAGUACGUGAAAUUGUUGAAAGGGAAGGGCUUGAGAUCAGACUUGGUAUUUUGUAUGUUACUCUCUCGGGGGUGGCCUCUACAGUUUACCGGGCCAGCAUCAGUUUGAGCGGUAGGAUAAGUGCAAAGAAAUGUGGCACUGCUUCGGUAGUGUGUUAUAGUCUUUGUCGAUACUGCCAGCUUAGACUGAGGACUGCGGCUUCGGCCUAGGAUGUUGGCAUAAUGAUCUUAAGUCGCC